This 460-nucleotide ribosomal RNA is filed under the name uncultured bacterium. RNAcentral's name for it is "partial 16S ribosomal RNA". It matches the Rfam family "Bacterial small subunit ribosomal RNA", at positions 338 to 795 of the family's 1533-position model. The record is from RNAcentral.
CCUACGGGAGGCAGCAGUGAGGAAUAUUGGUCAAUGGACGAGAGGCUGAACCAGCCAAGUAGCGUGAAGGAUGACUGCCCUAUGGGUUGUAAACUUCUUUUGUAAAGGAAUAAAACGAGGCACGUGUGCCUGUUGGCAUGUACUUGAUGAAUAAGCAUCGGCUAACUCCGUGCCAGCAGCCGCGGUAAUACGGAGGAUCCGAGCGUUAUCCGGAUUUAUUGGGUUUAAAGGGAGCGUAGAUGGGUUGUUAAGUCAGUUGUGAAAGUUUGCGGCUCAACCGUAAAAUUGCAAUUGAUACUGGCAGUCUUGAGUACAGUUGAGGUAGGCGGAAUUCGUGGUGUAGCGGUGAAAUGCUUAGAUAUCACGAAGAACCCCGAUUGCGAAGGCAGCUUACUAAACUCUGACUGACAUUGAUGCACGAAAGUGUGGGUAUCAAACAGGAUUAGAUACCCGAGUAGUC